CCUCAGAGCCCACGCUUUCGUCAAAGACUCAAAACACGUUCGCCGUUAAAAAACCAAAAAACGUGGGGACUUCAUUCCUGUGGUUGUAACUUGUGACUCUCUCCUUCCAACUUUAAUACGUAAUCUCCACCGCACGUUCACCCACUCGCUCACAGCUCCCGACCACAGUUCAUGGCCGGCACGAGCGCCUCCUCCUUCACUCCGCACGUAAUCGGAUCCACCGUUUUCGAACUUUCCAGAAUUAACCGCACCGCAGCUCCGUUUUUGGUCCGGAUCUCUGCCAAGGCCAAUGGAUCCCCCACCUGCAAAGACGCCCUUGCCGAGGGUCCCUCUUGCAUAUUCGUUGGCCCUAUCGAGACCGCCAGCCAAGAAACCCUAGAAGCUCUUUAUUGUCAAGCACGGGACGCGUAUUACAGCGGUGAACCUUUGAUAGUUGAUGACAUGUUUGAUAGAGUAGAGUUAAAGCUACGGUGGUAUCGUUCGAAAUCCAUUAUCAAGUACCCUCGUUGUAGUCUUAGGCGGCAAUCAACCUAUGCAGAUGCAGAGGAAGAUCUAUCACAGGGUUUUGCAUUAGCGAGCAUAUGGAUCCUGUUUCUUGUAUUUGGCAGUUCAGCAUGUAUGGUGCCUAUGAUAUAUACAGUUGGCCUAGCUUAUCAAGAAGCAUACAGUUCAGGAUCGUUUUACAGCAGUCAAGCACCUGUCUUGGAGUUUCUUGCCACUUUGAAUGGCAUUCUUUUUAUGGCAUUGGGUUCUGUGAUUGGCUACCCAAUUGCAUCAGCUUCAGUUAAAGUGCUACAAGGCCUUUGGAGGAAUGACUUGGUAGCACUUAAAGGGGCAUGCCCAAAUUGUGGGGAGGAGGUCAGUCUAUCAUAUGUUGUAUUGUGCAAAGUUCCCUCAGGUGUUUGCAUUUGUGAGACCAGACCAAUGCAAUAAGAGUCCCCAUAGAGCUGAUUGUCAUGUUUGUGGUUGCUUGUUAGAAUUCCGCAUCAAGGUUGAGCAAUCAGCUUCAAGAUUUGGUAGAGGGUGGGUUUAUGGCCGCAUAUACCUGGUACGGAGACGCAGAAACCGGCAGAGUUGGCUCUAAGAUCUCUAACUGGUAGACUUGGUCUCCUAAGAAUUGUAUAAAUUAGCACCGAUCAUAACUCCUUUUCUAUUUUAGGGUGACAUGGUGGUGAUCAUUCUAACAAAAAUUCAUUUGCUUCUAGUCAAUAGCUAGAAUCUUUGUAUUUUAGAAUAAAUAAUGAGACGACUCCUACAUUUAAGUUGGAGUAAAAUAAUAUGGAUUCCCGCCUUAAACCAA
RNA transcript from Carya illinoinensis, 1300 nucleotides. RefSeq lists it as uncharacterized. The transcript has 7 exons. NCBI's taxonomy places the organism in Eukaryota, Viridiplantae, Streptophyta, Magnoliopsida, Fagales, Juglandaceae. The record is from RefSeq and is a predicted model, not a curated record.